This 468-nucleotide ribosomal RNA is filed under the name uncultured bacterium. RNAcentral describes it as "partial 16S ribosomal RNA". It matches the Rfam family "Bacterial small subunit ribosomal RNA", at positions 28 to 507 of the family's 1533-position model. The record is from RNAcentral.
GACGAACGCUGGCGGCGUGCUUAACACAUGCAAGUCGAACGGAAAUGCCCCAGCUUGCUGGAGUGGAUCAGUGGCGAACGGGUGAGUAACACGUGAGCAACCUGCCCCAGACUCUGGAAUAAGCUCUGGAAACGGCGUCUAAUACUGGAUACGAAACUGGCCCGCAUGGGGAGGGUUUGGAAAGUUUUGCGGUUUGGGAUGGGCUCGCGGCCUAUCAGCUUGUUGGUGAGGUAAUGGCUCACCAAGGCGACGACGGGUAGCCGGCCUGAGAGGGCGACCGGGCCCCAGGGGACCGCGAUACGGGCCAGACUGCUACGGGGGGCAGGGGUGGGGAAUAUUGCCCAAUGGGCGGAAGGCUGAUGCCAGGGCGCCGGGUGGGGGAAGACGGCCUUCGGGUUGUGAACCGCUUUCGGCUGGGAAGAAGCGUAAGUGACGGUAACCGGAAAAGAAGCACCGGCUAACUUCGUG